Oncorhynchus mykiss (rainbow trout) is the source of this 8465-nucleotide non-coding RNA. The record is from RefSeq and is a predicted model, not a curated record. Lineage: Eukaryota; Metazoa; Chordata; Actinopteri; Salmoniformes; Salmonidae.
GGGAAAAAAACAAUUUAAUCAAUUUUAGAAUAUGGCUCUAAUGUAACAAAAUUUGGAAAACGUCAAGGGGUCUGAAUACUUUUCCGAAGGCACUGUAUCAUGACAUUAAUGAUAGUCAAAAUCUGUUACAUUUGUGAACGUCUCAAUACACAUUUGGGCCAUUUAAACAGCAUGCUUCCCUCUUAUAGACAAGGGGAGAAGGGCUAUGUAAAGGCAUCGAUUAUGUCGCUCUGACCAUAUGCAAUGUGUCUGCCUCCAAAGUAAAACAAAUGUUUGACUUCCACACAAAAUUACUUCUUUACUUAUUUUAGGUUUAAGGAAGUGUGUAGAUUGCGUUCUUUAUCGUAGAGCUCUGUUGUAUUUAGAUCCGCCUGCUCGAGACAAAUUCAGCGAUUGCUUUGCCAUGUCUGUGCUGUGAAGCAGUCGAGCUGGAUAAAUGUUUUUCUAAGGACCGCCCCUUUGAUGUCACAUUGCAGUGAAGUGACAUAAAUUGAUGUAAUAAUGAAACCGACCACCAGAGGGAGGCAAAUACAAGUUUAUUCGACAGAGGAAGGUCUGCAUUGCUGUCUUCUGACAAAACAGUGGGAAGUCAAUAAAAUAGGUAAGGUAAACAUUUACAUAUUUUUAAAAAUAAUUCUAGUGCACAAUUUCAGGGACUGUCAGUUUAAGAGGUUUUAAUGUAGACGUGUACAUAAACAUGAAUGAAUGAGAUUAUAGAUUGUUGAUAAGAGAUUAUAGAUGAUAGCGAUAUAGAGAUGUAUAGAUUAUAGAGAUAAUAUCAAUUAUAGAGAUGAUAGAUUAUAUAGAUUAGAUUAUAGAGAUGAUCGAUUAUAGAGAUUAUAGAUUAUAGAGAUGAUAGAAAUUAUAGAGAUGAUAGAUUAUAGAUAGUCUAGAUUGGUUUUUCUUUUGAAACUUUAUACUCCCGUUUUCUUGGACAUUGCAUUUAUUUAGAGAUUUUAUUAACACCAAAGUCAGCGUAUUUAUGUCAAAACUGUUUCAAAGUGUUCUAUAUUUCUGAGCAAUCUGUACAACAUAUAGCCAUUACACAUCUUAAUUAUUUAAUUUUGAACAUGUUAAUAUUUUGUAUCAUAUACACAUAUAUGUAGGUACUAGGUUUAUGGUGUAACAACAUUUAGUUGUAUAAUAAAAUGAGUAAAUUAAUAAAAUAUAAUAAAACUUGCAUUUCAAUAGAAUUAUAUCAAUUGUAUAUCAAUUUAUUGACAAAUUGCAAAAAUGUGUUGUUACAUACUUCGUGUACUAUCAAUACUUUUUAGGGAAAGGACAUUUUAUUGACAGACGGAUAUGUCAAGAGGUUGCAACUGUACAGUAUGUGUAUGUUUUCAGAUAUUUGUAUUGUGUAGUUGGGAAAAUGUUCAGGUUUUGGAUUAUCUUGUCUGUUUAUUUCUUGGUGUCAAUAGUUGCAUCUCUCCACAAGGGAGCACUGUAGAAUCAUAUUUUAUGGGGGCCAUUUUAGUACCUUUCCAGAAGAUAAACAAAUCAGUAAAUGGGUACUGUACAUGGUUAAAGUAUUCAGUGUAUAUAUACAUGAAACACUAUAUUAAAAAGCCAUUCAUGCUUUGGAGCUUGUGACCUCCUAUGUGAAUCUGUGAUUGUGGGAAAAGGAGGUUAUGGCUCAGAUGAUGACCUCUGGUACCUUUACCAUGUACUACUGGUCUGUGUUGCUCAUAUAUGCAUCUGACAUGUAAGGCAAUCAUCCUGUGUAUUCAUAUCAUGAAUUAUAUCAAUUAUAAUAUGUCAUUUUUUGUGGAAUAUGAUAAGCAUACUAUGCUAAGAUAUCCUGCACUUUGAUUAAUUUGAUAUAAAAAAAAAAGCUGUAUACUCUAUUAUAACAUGGGCUGCAUAAUAUAUUAGUGUGCAUGCUUCUUUGUUGGGUUCAAAUUGUGACAAGAACAUGGAACUGAUCUGAACUGAACAAGACUUUUAUUGACUGUGAGACUAAGCUACUGAAAUGGAUGCAGCACUUUGACUUGUAAACUGCUUUUGUGGUAUUUUGGAGUUGAGAUGGUGUAAUAUUCACAUCUGUGUGUGAAUUGUGUUCUCUCUCUUCUGAAGCUGUAAAAAACUGAAAACUCUUUCCCCCCUAACAGGUUCCUGGCUACAACAUUACUGAACAUUUCUGAUGUGAUGCUGUUUAUUUAGAGGGCUAGCCUGGUGCCUGAUCUGUUUGUGCUGUUUUGCCAACUCCUAUCGUCAUGUCAUGUUUGGCAUGACACUGGACAUACGAGUUGGCAAAAAAGCACAAUCAGAUCUGGCACCAGGCUAAUACAGGGCUGUACUAUAAGUCCAAAUAACAAACACACAUACACAGCACAUACACAUACACAACAUCAAUGAGUCAACAAGUCCAAAACAUUUAUUACGACUUAAAGUCAAUAAUACAAUAUUAAUGUACAAAACCUCUUUAUUACAGGGGUAGGUAACCCUGGUCCUGGAGGGCCACAGGCACUUCAUGUUUUUGAUUUAACCAACCUGGAAGACCAGGUAUGUUGAAUUUAGGCAAUUACUGAACUGAUCAAUUAGCUCAGUUGGUCCAGCGUGGUGCCUAGAUGGAUCAAAAUCCUGCUGUACCUGCGGCACACCAAGAACAGGGUUUCCUACCCCUGUUUUAAUAUAUACAUCAAAACAAGAAGACAUUUAUACAGCGCAGCGGUGAAACAGAUGAUGAAACAUGAGUUUAAAAAGAGCCUGAAGCAGGCAGCGGUGAAACAGAAGAUGAAACAUGAGUUUAAAAAGAGCCUGAAGCAGGCAGCGGUGAAACAGAAGAUGAAACAUGAGUUUAAAAAGAGCCUGAAGCAGGCAGCGGUGAAACAGAAGAGAAAACACGAGUUUAAAAAGAGCCUGAAGCAGGCAGCGGUCAGGUCACCAGAAUUAUGGCAAAUUACAUUUCAAUUCAAACUGAAAUUCUUAAUUCCAUUUGUUUUUCAUUAAAAAGCAUUGAGAAAAUGUUUUGUUUACUUCCGGCAUUGACUGAAUUGAAAUGUAAUUGAGCCCAACCCUUCAGACCACAGAUACAACAGUUACAUUACAUUCAGCCAUCACUGUACAGUACCUUUGUCCUGGGCUAUGUUAGGUAGGCAAAUGUGGAACGUUGCAGAUAGAAAUGUCAUGAAGAGAGCUGAUGUGAGUCCUUACAUUACUUAACAUUUCAGAGUGACAUGUUUGUUCUACAUGAUGUUCCACAACAUGGUGCCCUGCUGAACACAGCCCUGUUGUCUCUUUUCCAUCCAAAACAGAGCCAGCUUUCUAAAUGUCAUCUUGUGAUGGUUGGAAACUAUAAAAGUUAUUGGCUAUUUAUUUAGAAAUGUAGUAUGGCAAUUACCCUCAUGUCAAAGGACUCUAAAACGUAUUAACAUUCAAAUGAAAUUUAAAUUUAAAUUUAAAUUCAAAUGAAAUUGAAUGAACAGGGUGGUUCUGACUAGGCCCGAUCAUAAAUGUUUUAAAAUGCCCCUUCUUAUUGACAAUUGACCAGCAACUCUGUUGUCAAACAGAAAAAUAUUAUUCACAGUUUAGUGGAUGGCUUUCUAACCCUAUGCCCCUUUCUGGUUAAAUAGUUUAAAAUAAUUAUUCACUAUUGAACACCAUUGUAUUUUUCUUCCUUGGAGCUGCUUUUUCCUUGAAAUUGCUGACUACAUGAUCAGAAUGCAGUAAAACGGAUGUCACACUUACAAUUCCCUCAGGAUUCUGUGAACUGUUUAAGAACAUGUCUAUAAAAGGUUCCAUCAUCUCCCAGUAAGAUUUCAUCUGCAGAAUAAUCAACACAGCUUGGGGAAAAGGAUCAAACCAUCAAGAGAUGCAUGCAUCAGUCUACAAGAGAUUAUAGGCAGCAAUACAAUAUGCUUCAUAUUUGAACAAUCACUAUCACCAAAAUAAUACUAAAAUGAUAACAACCACGGAGCAAAAUUCUAAUGACUGCUAAUAUUCACUUUGCACCACGGACGACUCCAUCUACGAGAUACUGUCUUACACAAUGACACGGCAGAAUUCAGUUGACCAUUUAUAAGCCACAAUGGUAGACUACACAUAUUUGUAAACCACAGUCUCCAUCCCAAAUGCUACCCAAUUCCCUAUUUAGUGCAUAACUUUUUCCCUAUGGGCCCUGGUCAAAAGUAGUACACUAUUCAAGGAUUGGAGAAAAUGGUGCAAUUUGGGACACAUCUAAACUACUGUACAUGUAUGUAGAUAACUACUUCAUUGUUCAUUAUAACAACAGAUUUAAUAAACAAUAUACUGUAUUCUCAGAAUGAUUACAUCUCUAAUUGACAUCACAUUGACCGGCGAUAUAAGGCUGUGUAUUGUUUAAUAUUUCAUAACAUAAAUACUCUUGAAAAUGUAUAUUCAUACUCUUAAAAUUGGCUCAUGACAUGCUGAGACUGUCAUUAUGGUUUUAAUAAGGAACUCCUGCUAAACAUUCAACUUGGUGUGGGAACCAAAAGCAGAUCAUCUCUUUCUGAUUGUCCAACCUGUUUCACAGUGAAACAGGGACACCUUUUGGCCAUCUGUAUUCGCACACGCAUGGAUGGACCCAUAUUAAAGGCCAGUGUAAAGCAUCUCAAGAGUAGGACUGCUAAAGACAGGUCCAGACUGAAGAAAAACACAGCACAUUACUACUUUCUGUCUGCCCUCCUUGCCAUUCUUCUUCAUCUGAACCAGCUUCUUUAAUGAACAACGGGAAACUAUUCCUAACAGGAAGUUUUGUGUUUCUGAUCAGAUAGUACUGUUAAAGAGCUGUGCUUUUUCAGGUGGGCUGGGGAGUUGUGGAGUCAUCAACUGUUCAUCAAGCGUUUGACACGCUAACACACUGUUUACAGAUAUGCAUUGUUGCAUUAUCUAUAGUUUAUAGUAUAUAAAUAAAAUAAUAUGACAAAACGUUUUUUUUUUUUCCGUUUCAGUUUGAGAAUAAAGGCAAUUAUUCGUACUGUAUGUGACCAAACCAAAUUGAGAAUAUAUAUAUAUAUAUAUAUAUAUAUAUAUAUAUACAGUUUUUUGUCUUUCUCUCCCGUUUAAAAGCACCGCAUUUGCCUGCAGUCACAAACGGUGUACAGUAACUUAAUUAAAUCAACCAGUAUCCCAUUAUUUUGAUAUACAAAAAAUAUUAUGAGUAUAAAGGACUGAAUGCUGCAAAAUAGAACAGAGUCAAUCAUACCUAUUAUUGUGUAAUGAUAUAGAUAGACCAUAGUAGAUAUUUACUCAAAAUAAAAGUGGCUUAUUUCAAAAGGUCAUCGGUCGUAGGUUAUAGGUCGUAGGUUAAAGUUCAUAGGUUAUGCCCAUCUUAAACCAGAAAUGAGCUCUAGGUACUUCAAAGGCCUCCAGGUUAAUAAAAUACUGAUUCAGUGUAACAUCAUAAAAGCACUUUUGUUGACCACAUGUUUUUACAUACUUUGCAGUUUCGUUUAAAAAAUAAUGUCUAAAAAAAUCUCUCAGAUUAACAGAAAUACUUGCCGUUUUGUGCAUAAAGGCACUUUGGAGACUAAAGUAUACUAGGAGAGAUUAACAUGGGAUUAGGAUUAACAUGGGAUUAGAAUAUAGAAUAAUAAUAGUUAAAUCAGACCAAAGGAUCAAAUCUGUAGUGACAUCAGUUGCAAAGCUUUUACUCAGCCUUUGCAAAUGUAUACGGCCGUGAAACUCAGUGUGGAGUCUAGUGUUCAUCUUUGGAAUGAGAGAAAUACCCCAAAAUAAUACUUUUUUAAAAACACAAUUCAGGAAGGUGUUUAUCAAACCUCAAUGUGGUAAAAUACUUUCUGUCGGUCUAAGUUAUCUAUUUAGUUAAAUAUACAAAUUGAAGCUAGCUGAGAGACUGCUGAAGAAACUAGGGUAAAAUCUAGAUUGGACUGCAUUGCCUUUUCAGCGUCAGGUACAGUAAUAAUCUCACAAAACAAUUGUAAACAGAUUCAAAAGAAGAAAGAAAAAUACAAUUCAUGCAGACAUUGUAACACAGUUAUACAUUGAACUCACGAUACCCAUUCAUGAGUAAGUUGUCAUUGACAUUUUCUGUACUACCGGCUGUUUAAAACUAGUGGCACUAUCAAUCCUCUCCCGAAAUGAACCAAGGCAUCUUGUCAUCAUAAGCAAUGCUAAGAUUUAAAGAGGUUUGGUGUGUAAUGGUCGUAGUUGGCAAAUCUUAGCAUUGUUCAUCCUUCUAAAAUAGAUGACCAUCUUACCUUAACGCAGGUUUGAUUUUUGGCAUUUCAUUCCUCAUUAUUGAACUGUAGAAAAUAUACCUUUCACAUAAAUACUGGUUUUACCCAUGUCAUCUGUCUUCCUCAGAAGAAUCCCACUGGGCACAGACGUCAAUUCAACGUCUAUUCCACUUUGGUUCAACAUAAUUUCAUUGAAAUUACAUGGAAACAACAUUGAUUCAAUGUGUGCCCAGUGGGAAGAAUUCCUCUAUCUCUAAUAACAGUGGUACAUAUAGCAAGGAGGAAGUGACAUCAUCAUCUUCCUGUCACUCCACCAAUCACAGCUUACACAGGUAAAGGUGACCCGUGCCAUUGGCUGACACAUAGCCGCUGAUGUCAUAUACGGUCAUACAAAGCACUAUGAUGCUCUACUUCUGGUGGUGAUUGACUAUUAUCUUCAUAUUUUAAGAGACAUUGUUUCUACUGUUGGUCCAUUAAUUAUUUAUUUUGCCUUGAUCCUGGCUUGAGUCUCCAGGCCUGAAUAGUAUCCCAUGAUGCAGUGUGUUAGCCUCCAUUUUGUGUCCUUUCACUGUUCAUUAUUUUACAGUAACCUCACAUGAUCAUUCUCCCUCUACCAUAGACUUAGAUAGACAACACUAGUGCCCAAAAGUAUUUUUUAGCAUGGGCAGUGCCAAUGAGGACUCACCAUUUUUAAGUAGUCAACUGGGUGGAACUUCCUAUGGGUUAAGAAAGGAUCCCAUAAUUCUAUCCAGGUCAUCAGGAGGGAUCAGCCAAUUCAUUAUUCUUGUGAGCAAACAUUCCAGAACUGCAGGUGGCAGUAAAUAGGCAACAUUUAUACCUGUUCAAAUAAUAGUCCAGACCACAGUAUGCACCUUUUUAGUUUGUUUGCCAACUCAUAGAAGUAGUAAAUUAAUAAAGUGACUACUUAAAACUGGACAUGGUCUCAAUGGUGUUGCCUUUUCUCUCACAGAUGCCAUAGUGGGACAUAUACAAAGACGCAAUGUCUAUCUAAAUCUAUGCCCUCUACAAACAGGCACACACUUGCAACCUGAUUGGUCAGCUGAUAAAUAUUUACAUUAGGUCAGUCUGUCUCGAUUGGCCGGUUUGUUGUUUCUCCUGUACAGGACGUGUAAAGCUUAUUUCAGAGUCAAACAGACUCAGUGGCGCGAUAGUCCGGCCACAGACUUAGUAACGUGAUAGUCCGGCAUCUCGUUGUGACAUACAGUAGCUACAUGGCUCUGAGACCACAAUUCGCAUGGGAAUGGUCAGCCGAACGCGCACCUUGCCAAAAUUUCCAACCAACGUGCUCUGCUGAGAAUUCAAAAAGUAUGAAAGCCAACGGUCCAAUAUUCUAGAACACUGCUGUGCGUACACAUGCACAUUUUGGACUCUGAUAGAGGGUUUAUGGUUUUGUUACUGCUCCGUAAUUGAGUUGCCAUAACAACAACAAUACCCAGAACAACAAAACACAGUCUUAACUUGAGUCUGCAACAAGCUGAAAGACAGACUGAGGAAAGAGAGGAGGAGGAGUUGUUAAAUACCUAUUGUCAUUCUUCGGACAUGAUGAUAUGAUUGCAAUGACCGGUGGUAUUACAUGGAUGUUCCAGCAGCACUGAAGUGGUCCAGCUAUUCUGCUCUACGUGAUAAACGGGGGAGGCUUUUUGACAUAACACCAUGAUGAUAUGUACAGACCAUUAACCAUGCUUUUCCUUAAUAGCCUUCUGCCUUCCUUGUAAAGAUCCUUGUCUGAUGGUUUCUGAAUGGUGAUUGACAUUCACUGCUAGGCCACUACCACUGACGGUGGUUUGCUCCAUGAUGGAGACACUGUAGUUGUAACAGUUUAAAGGUGGAUUCACCUACAACUGCUCGUGAACAGGUGCUGCUGGUGAGGUGUUAGGUGUUCUGUUCCUGUCUGGUAGAGUUGGGUUUUAAUGUUGGGGUAGGUUAAGUCAGGGUUGGCUGGGAUAGUUUACAUAGUGAUAGGCUGGUUUGGAUAGAAAUAGGAGUCAGGUUAGUUUAGGUAUGGAUGAGUUGGAUUGCUAAGGACUAGGUGUUGGGUUAGGUUGGAUAGUGGUGGGUUGGGGUUUGGUUAGGAAUAGGAAUAGGUGUUGGGUUAGGUUGGAUAGGGCUAGGGGUUGGGUUAGUUUGGAUAGGGCUAGGGGUUGUGUUAGUUUGGAUUGGAUUGGGUUGGGUUAGUUUGAAUAGGGCUAGGGGUUGGGUUAGUUUGGAGUGUACCGGGUUGCUUAGUUUGAAUAGGGCUAGGGGUUGGGUUAGUUUGGAUUGUAUUGGAUAGGUUGGUUUGGAUGG